This 5500-nucleotide long non-coding RNA is filed under the name Sus scrofa (pig). RNAcentral describes it as "lncRNA (ENSSSCG00060044058.1)". The record is from RNAcentral. Lineage: Eukaryota; Metazoa; Chordata; Mammalia; Artiodactyla; Suidae.
UUUUUUUUUUUUUUUUGAGAAAAAAAUAUACAUUUAUUGACAAAUUCGGUGCAUAUUUUCUUGAACACAUUGUCUUUUAAGGACACUGAUUAAGUCACAAUGAGUUCUUAAUCCUUUGUAAUCUCUCUGUUUUCUACUUUGUUAAUCUCUGCCUUAAAUUAAUUUCCUUUUUUCAAAUUCCCUUUUGUUUAUCUUGGUAACUUUUUAUUUUAUUUUGCUUUAUCUUAUUUUUAUCAAGGUCGCAUCAGUUUAGUGUGCUAUAUCUUGUUAUAUGGAAGUUCUCAGGCUAGGGAUUCAUGUGGAGUCGCGGAUGUGGGAUCAGAGCCGCAUCUGCAACCUAUAACACCACAGCUCAUAGCAAUGGCCAGAUCCUUAACCCACUGAGCGAGGCCAGGAAUCGAAUCUGCAUCCCCAUGAAUAGUAGUCAGGUUCGUUCCUGAUGAGCCAUGGCGGGAAUGCCCUAGAUUGUUACAGCUUAAUUGAAGUCAAACCCACUGUAGACUUCCUUCUCAGAGAGGCCUUUGCAUAAAAUAUCCAUUAGCUUAAUAAUAUUUAAAUUCCAACUUCCUGAAGCCUGUAAACAUAUUCUCUAACAUCACCUGAGUAUAUAAAAAUAACAUACAAUUAAACAAAUAAUUACUCUAUAGUGUCAGAUACUGUACUUUUAACUCCAGAAAUGAAAGUGGAAAUUUUCCUAGAAAUUCAAAGAGUAAUCAGAUUAUCUGUGUCCUAUUAGAACUGUUUCUUAAAGCACUCCUGUUUUUACCAUUUUGACACAUUUAACAUAUCCUAUCUCUGAAACUUUUGUCAGUUUUGUUUGUCUGGAGAACACUGACUGACACAAUAAUCAAUCUUAUGUACUUGGAUAGCACUAGUUCAUUUAACCAAAAAUGGUUAAACAGCACCUACAUAGCAAACACCAAGAUGGAUAAAAUCCCUUCUAUGAGACAAUAAGAUUUACUGUAUAGCACAGGGAACUAUAUUCAAUAACUUGUAAUAACCUAUAAUGGAGCAGAAUCUGAAAAAGAAUAUAUAGAUAUCUAUUUAACUGAGUCACUUUGCUGUACCCCUAAAACUAACACAAUACUGUAAAACAGCUAUACUUUGAUUUUUAAAAAAUCCCUUCCAUAUGGCUCUCCUAUUUUGGAGGGAAGAAACAAAAAUGAUUAAGCAUAUUAAUUUAUAACAGGCAGAGGCAAAGCAAGGCAAGGAAACAGAGUGACAUAAGAAGGGCUGUAUUGGAGUUCCCUGGUGGCUCAGUGGGUUAAGGAUCCAGUGUUGUUAAUGCAAUGGUCCCGGUCACUGCUGUGGCUCAGGUUCAAUCCCAGGCCUGGGAAUUUCUGCAUGCUGCAGGUGCAUCCAAAAAAAAAAAAAAGAGAGAGAGAGAGAGAAAGAAUUGAUUGGCCAAUCAUUUAAAAAAAAAAAAAAAAAGAAGAAGGGCUGUAUUGAACAGGGCGCUGAGAAGGCCAGAAAUUAGUGGUAUUUGAGCGCCAUCUGUAUCAAGCGAUGGCAGGGCCUGCAGGUACCUGGAGGAAGACUGUUCCAACAGGUGGAAUGGGAAAACCCAAGGCCUCGCAGACGGCUGCCAGUGACUGACCAGGGCAUUGUCACUGCAUGCAGUCCCAAGGGUGCUUUGAUCCUGGGGAAACUGCACUGGGCCCAGUCAGGGCUCAGGUCCUAUCACUGUCACCCAGUCAUUUGAUCUUCUGGCCCCUGAUGCCUUCUGGAAAAGGUGACGGCUUAGGACCAGAUCAUCGUUUCCUGUCCAAAACACCCACAGUCCCAGCUCUGCAUCCGCCCCCAGCAGUUUCCAAUGUACAAAUAAAGCCUCUGAGGAACAUUCCAGCAAAGGAACCUGAAUGACUUUAUUUAACCCAAUGUUACCAAACUCACUUGGUCUCAAAAACGUGUUUCUACUAUUAAUUGAACUUGGGUUAGUUGAAAAUACUUUUAGGAGUUCCCGUUAUGCCUCAGUAGAUUAAGAGGAUCAGCUGGUCCCCAUAGGACCCAUGAGGAUGCGGGUUUGAUCCCCGGCCUUAUUAAGGAUCUGGCAUGGCCACAAGCUGUGGCAUAGGUUGCAGACGUGGCUCGCAGCUGGCAUUGCUGUGGCUGUGGCAUAGGAAUGCCAGAUCCAAGCCACAUCUGCACCCUACACCACAGCUCGCGGUAAUGCGGGAUCAUUAACCCACUGAGCAAGACCAGGGAUCGAAUUCGCAUCCUCCUCAUGGAUACUAGUUGGGUUUAUAACAGCUGAGCCACAAUAGGAGCUCCAGAAAAGAGCAUUCUAGAAUGGACCUGAUUGACUUUCUUUGAAAGAAAUGCUUUGUGGUGAUAACACCACUGUAAAACUCAGGGUUUGCAUUGUGCAGUAGUGGUGAAACCCCUAUAAAGUUGACCUGUGUUAAGAUAUAUACAGAAUGGCAUUUACUGCAUAAAUUUGUUUGUUUGUUUGUUUUCUGGCCAGCCAUUGUGAAUUUAUGCUCUGCUCAUGACAAGGGAAACCAGAGGUGCAUGAAUGGAUUAGAGCAAUUUCUUCCUCCUUCUUUCCCCAGAAGCUAUCUGAGCACUUAGGAUGGAUGAGGGCUCUGUUGGCUGAAAACGCAAAUCUGCUAAAUGCCCUGGGACCACCAGCCUCCAUACAGCAGACAACAUCAUUGCCACCUUGGAACACUUGUUUCCAAAACUUGAGAACUUGAUAAAGAAGGCAGAGCCAGUAAAAAGGAGAGCAGUGGUUAUAACCAUCAACCUCACAAGUGGAAAAAAUAUAAAAUAAAUUUUCAAGUAAUGACUAAGCUAUAAGGAAAUUUGCAAGUUUUUUAUUUGAAAAUUAGAAUUUGUUUAGAUUCAUUGCAGCACUAUUCAUAAUAGCCAAGACAUGGAACAAUCUCUGCCCAAUUGACAGAUGAAUGGAUUAAGAAUAUGUAGUAUAUAUACACAAUGGAAUACUACACAACCAUUAAAAAGAACAAAAUAAUGCCAUUUGCAGCAACAUGGAUGCAACUAGAGAUUCUCAUACUAAGUGAAGUAAGUCAGAAAGAGAAAGACAAAUACCACAUGAUAUCACUUAUAUAUGGAAUCUAAAAUAUGGCACAAAUGAAUCUAUCUACAGAACAGAAACAGACUCACAGACCUAGAGAACAGACUUAUGGUUGCAAGGGGGAGGGGCAGGUAGUGGGACAACUGGGAGUUUGGGGUUAGUAGAUGCAAACUAUCAUUUAGAAUGGAUAAGCAGUGAGGUCACUUGUGAUAGGACAUGAUAGAAGAUAAUUUAAGAAAAAGAAUAUGUAUAUUUCUUGCUGUACAGCAGAAAUUGACAGAACAUUAUAAAUCAACUAUAAUAAAAUACUGGGGGAAAAAAACAUUUGCUUAGAAAGAAAGUUCACCUAAAAGGGUGAGGAAGCCCUUCAUCAUUUCUGCAAUUCAUAUAACAUUAAAUAUAAAAAUCUAAUGUUUCAGCCCUGUAUGAGAACACUUUAGUUUUCAAACAACCACCAUAUGGGUCUACCUAGCAUUCAUUACCUAGCUAAAAUAUUUACGAGUAGCUGUAAAAACAAGCUGGGGAAUUCCUGUUGUAGCGCAGUCUACCUAGCAUUCAUUACCUAGCUAAAGAUAUUUAUGAGUAGCUGUAAAAACAAGCUGGGGAAUUCCUGUUGUAGCUUAGCAGAAAUGGAUCCAACUAGUACCAUGAGGCUGCAGAUUUGAUCCCUGGCCUUGCUCAGUGGGUUAAGGAUCUGGCCUUUGCCCUAAGCUGUGGUGUAGGUCGCAGAGGCAGCUUGGAUCCUCUGUUGCUGUGGCUGUGGUACAGCUCGGUGGCUGUAGCUCUGAUUCGACCCCUAGCCUGGGAACCUCCAUAUGCCCCAGGUCAGGACCUGAAAAGCAAACAAACAAAGGAACAACCACAACAAAAAACCAAGAUGAUAAAUUUUACUCCAUAUGCAAAGGGUCAUUUGUCCUACUAAUGUUUAACAAUAAAGUAUGAAUACAUGGAAGUCCAGAAUAGAGUGUAUUUAAUGAAAAUCUUUAAAUUAGAAUGCAUCAUAAACAUUUUGUCCAAAUUAUCAAAAUUCAAAUUAGAUGUGUUAAACUCUGUGAGCAUUUCCUAUGCUUUAAACAUAUUGCAAAACUGGCAGCUUUAAACAUAUUGCAAAACUGGUUUAAAACAAUUAGAAAUGCAUUGUCUCACAGUUCUGGAGAUUAUAACUUCAAAACUGUCAGUAGGACCAGUCUCUCUCUGACACCGGUAGGGGAAGAUCCUUCCUUGCCUCUACUGGCUUCUGGGGUUUGCUGUCGAUCCUUGGUGAUCCUUGGCUUGUAGAGCCACCCUUUGCCUCUGUCAUCACAUGGUCACCUCCUCCCUGUGUGUCUUUGUAUUUGUGUCUCUCCUCCUUAAAAACAUCUCCGUCCUGAUGGAUUAAGGGACCACCUAUACCAGCAUGAUCUCAUCUUAACUCAUUACAUCUGCAAAAACCCUAUUUCCAAAUAAAUCCCAUUCUGAGGUCUUGGAAGUUUGGACUUCAGCACUUUUUGCGGGAGGAUACAGUUCAACCCUAACAGUCUAUGCCUCUGACCCUCCAAAAUUCAUGUCCUUCCCACAUGCAAAACCUAUUCACCUGAUUUCUAACAUUUCCAAAUGUCUUAACCAUUCCAGCAUCAACUCUAAGGCCCAAACCUCAUCUAAAUAUCAUUGAUUCGAAAUCCCAAAUUUCACUAUCUACAUCAUCUAAACCAGUACAUGCGUGAUUUAACCUGGGUAGAUGUCUUUUCCAUCUUAGGAACUGUAACUGUAAAACCAGAGAAUGAAUUAUCUGCUUGCUGAAUACAAUAUCAGGCAUAGAAUAGACUUUCUCAUUCCAAAAAGACAAAAGGAGAAGGAAAGAGGGUGGGGGGUAACCGGUACCAGGCAAGUCCUAAAAAUUAGCAGGGCACUUUCCAUUAGACUUCGAGGCCUGAGAAUACUCCACUGUGCCUUGAUGCUCUGGGCCUAAUGGAAGGAUAGCCUCACCUUCUGAGUUCCAGGGGCCCUAUCAUCCCAAGCUUCUGUAUCAUAGCUCUUCCCUAAGAGCCCCUCUUCCUUCACUGCAUGCUGUCUCUGUCCCUUUCAGUCCUGGAUGGUGGUGUUUCUGCUGGUAUGAAGUUCUCAAAAAUCUUGUCAGUCUCCCACAAAGACCCAGGUCAUUAGACAAGAGGGUUUUCUAUGGAGCUUUUCUGGGUAACUCCAUCUCUAUUCCUGGCUUCUAUUGAGAAGGGUGAUUAAAACAAUUAGCUGAAUACCUAAUCUCUUUAGUAAAUGACUUGCCAGGCAGACUCUUGGCCCCAUUUCUCAAGUAUACUCUCUGGAUAGGCGGAGAAUCUUCCAAAUCAUCAAACGCUGGUUCAUUUUUGCUUUUCAGUUCCUUCCUCAAUUUACCUUUCCUCCCACAGUUUCCUAUAAGCAGUGAAAAGAAGCCAAGCCACACCUUCCAUGCUGCUUAGACCUCUCCCAAAAAAAAAAAAAAAAAAA